AAUCAACGCUGGCGGCGUGCCUAACACAUGCAAGUCGAACGCGAAAGGGGAGCAAUCCCUGAUUAGAGUGGCAAACGGGUGAGUAACACGUGGGUGACCUGCCUUCGAGUGGGGGAUAACCUUCCGAAAGGAGGGCUAAUACCGCAUGACAUACCGUGUUUGGAUACACGGAUAUCAAAGCCGGGGAUCGCAAGACCUGGCGCUUGGAGAGGGGCCCGCGUCCGAUUAGCUAGNGGUGAGGUAACGGCUCACCAAGGCUCCGAUCGGUAUCCGGCCUGAGAGGGCGGACGGACACACUGGAACUGAGACACGGUCCAGACUCCUACGGGAGGCAGCAGUGGGGAAUAUUGCGCAAUGGGCGAAAGCCUGACGCAGCGACGCCGCGGUGGGGGAUGAAGGUCUUCGGAUUGUAAACCCCUGUCGACUGGGACGAAUGUAGAACGGCCUAAUACGCCGAGCUAUUGACUGUACCGGUGGAGGAAGCC
Molecule: ribosomal RNA, 485 nt
Filed under: uncultured bacterium
Lineage: Bacteria
Description: bacterial SSU rRNA
Rfam family: Bacterial small subunit ribosomal RNA
Source: RNAcentral